Molecule: ribosomal RNA, 301 nt
Filed under: uncultured bacterium
Lineage: Bacteria
Description: partial 16S ribosomal RNA
Rfam family: Bacterial small subunit ribosomal RNA
Source: RNAcentral
CAGCCGCCGCGGGAAUACGUAGGUAGCGAGCGUUGUCCGGAAUUAUUGGGCGUAAAGGGAGCGCAGGCGGACAUAUAAGUCCAUCUUAAAAGUGCGGGGCUCAACCCCGUGAGGGGAUGGAAACUGUAUGCCUUGAGUGCAGGAGAGGAAAGCGGAAUUCCCAGCGUAGCGGUGAAAUGCGUAGAUAUUGGGAGGAACACCAGUGGCGAAGGCGGCUUUCUGGACUGCAACUGACGCUGAGGCUCGAAAGCCAGGGGAGCGAACGGGAUUAGAUACCCCUGUAGUCCCUGUCUCUUAUACC